CAGUUGUGUUGCCAGAACAGUCAGAGAGGUAUGAAGGAUAAAAAUAUAUUCAAGGGAAUUUCUUCCUUUUUCCAGCUCUCCCACCCAGGAUUCUUAGCAGUAUCUGUGGAGCGCUGGGAGGAAGGAAGCAGAGAUCUCAUCAGAUGUGUGGUGCCUUGGUGCUGUCACAGUCUACCCCGCACUCCUGCUUCAAAAGGGAUGUAUGGUGUUUUAGAAGAAAUCAUAGCUCAGUUUUAUGGAGACCAGAGGACCCCCCCCCCCAGGUCUGGGGUUCUGUGACAAACACAAGAAGGCUCAGCUCUUUCCAGAAAUCAUUCUUCAGGCAGGAAUGUCCUGGCUUUUGUUCCUGCAUUAUUCUUGCUGAAGUGAAGAAUAUGGCGGAAUGGUGCCACUCUUGAUAGUGAAUCUAAGUAUUGGGAUAUCCCCACCCUGCAUCAAAGGGGAAACGAGUUAUAAUUCCUAUCUCGACUGACUUGUUUACAAGCAGUAAGAAGCUUAUACCUCAGCUUGGUGAUACCUGUCAUCCCAGCACUUGGGAGCUUGUGGCAGGAGGAUCACAAGUUUAAGUCCAGCUUGAACAACUUAGUAAGAGACCCUUACUCAAAAAAAUUAAAAGGGAUGGGAUGUGGCUCGGUGUGAAAGCCUUGGCAUCAAUCCCCAGUAGUAGCUUAAAAAAAAAGUUCACAUCUCAAGUAAGAUCUGGACGAUGGGACUGUGUGUCUUAGUUCCUUCAUGCUGCUAUAAUGGAAUACCUUAGUCUGGGUGGUUUAUAAACAACAGAACUUUCUUGCUCACUGUUCUAGAGGCCGGAAAGUUCAAACUGGGUGUCUGCUGCACCAGUGGUGCCUUGUUGUUGCUUCCUCACAUGUGGGUGGGGACCGGGGAGCUUGCUUGAGUCUCUUUUUUCAGGGCACUAAUUGUGUUCAGCAAUAAGAUGAAGAAAUUAUUGUGUAUAUGGAAAAAACAUGCAUUACAUUAAACUAUUUGAUCAUUGACAAAGGGGCCAAAAAUAUACUCUGGGGGAAAGUUAGCUUCUUUAAUAAAUGGUCCUGCGAAUGCAGAAGAUUGAAUCUAGGCUCAUAUCUCUUACUAUGUAUUGAACUAAAAUACAAAUAGAUCAAAGAAUUAGAUGUUAAAAUAGAAACACUUAACCUGGUGGAGAUAAAAUAGGCAAAACUUGAAAUCAUAGGCAUAGGCAAGGAAUUUCUGAAUAGAACCCUUAUUACACAGGAAGCAGUACUGAAAAUCAAAUUAAAAACCUACACAGACAGCCCUUGGAAACUCAUUUUUGUGAGUUUGAGAAUCUCUUAAACCUCAAUUUGACUUUUCCUUUACGUAAAAUACAUGAAAAUAUUUAAGCAAAAAUUUAAACAGUAAUUUAAAAACAUCCUGUAAAAUUAAUACAGAUAGUUUAUUUAUGUUUUUUAAAUAAACUGAAAGAUAAAGAACACAAUAUUUUACAUAUUUAUAUUUCUCAUACAGUUUGGAGUCAUACAUGACUCUAUUUAUUUUUUUUUCUAUACUGGGAAUCAAACUAAGGACCUUGUGCUUGCCAGCCAGGUGUGGAGCCACUGAGCUAAAUACCCAGCCCCAUGAUUUCAGUUUUUGAAGCACAAUAUUAAAAUCUUUAAAAGGUAGUAAGUGAGAAUUUGUUCAAGUAAGUACCUUCAAGUACAUUUGUAUAAAGAAAAAUGAAAUUGUGUUGAUUGUUAUAUAUGUUAUUGGCUAUAGGACUAUUUUAAUGCUUAAAUUUUAUUAGCAAAAAUACUGCUUCAAAGUUUUAAAAAGGUACAAGUUCUUAUAAGGACAUAAGUUAUUGUUUCAUUGAAAUUGCCUAUUGAAUACUGUAUGCCCCUUUCUCUGAACAGGUUGUAAAAUGCCUGACACACAAUAUGUAAUAAAUUCAAAUAAAGAAGUGUGACACCUUAUAAAUGUGUACUUGAGAAUAACAUGCAAAAAUAAAAGUAAAAAAUACUUUCUUGUUUUUUAAAAAAACCUUCUGUACAGCAAAAGAAACAGUCAACAGAAUGAAUAGAAACCUACAGAAUGGAAAACAAUUUUGUCAACUAUUCCUCAGACAGAGAACUAAUAUUUAGAAUAUAUAAAAACCUCAAAAAAACUAGACCACCCCUAAAUAAAAGACCCAAUCAAAAAAUGGACAACUGAAAUGAAUAGCUACUUCUCAGAAGAAGUAUAAUUGGCCAAUAAAUACAUGAAGAAAUGGUCAACAUCGCUGGCCAUUAAAGAAAUGUAAAUUAAAACAACACCGAGAUUCCCUCUUACUCUGGUAAGAUUGGCCAUCAUCAAGAAAUCAAAUAAUAACACGUGCUGGUGACGCUGGAGAGUGGGCAUUCUACACGUUGGUGGCAAUAUAAACUAGACCAUCAUUAUGUAAAGAAGUAUGAAGAUUACUCAAACCACUAAAGCUAGAAAUUCCAUUUGACCUAGAUAUUAAUCUUCUAAGAAGCUUCCUGAAAGAGUUAAAGAUGGCAUAUUACAGUGAUCCACACAUACCAUGUUUAUAGCAACACAACUCAUAACAGCUAAAUCUUGGAAGCAGCCUAUAUGUCCAUCAACAGAUGAAUGGGUAAAGAAGUGUGGUGUUUAUACACAGCGGAGUAUUACUCUGCUAUAAGGAAGGAUCAACUUGAGUAAUUUGUAGGAAAAUCGAUACAUCUUGAGACCAUAACAUUAAGUGAAAUAAAUCAGACCCACAAGCUUAAAUAUGGCACAGUUUAUCUUAUAUGAGAAAAAACUACAAAAAAUAAAAUAAAAGAUAGAUAAUAUGAAGUAGAGGGAUAGAUCUUUUUUGAAUGGGAAGGGGAUCAAGAGAUUUGAGGAGGGGGAAGGGAUUAAGGAGACAAGGAAUUAAUAGGUGUUAUGUACAUGCACCCACUCACGCAAGAAAUGUAAACAUAAUAUACUGCAAACAUGUACUGAUAAAAAGGAAAGCAAAAUGUGGAUGAAUCUCAAAUAAUCACUCUGAGUAAAAGAAGCCAGACCCAAAACACA
Molecule: long non-coding RNA, 3012 nt
Filed under: Fukomys damarensis (Damara mole-rat)
Lineage: Eukaryota; Metazoa; Chordata; Mammalia; Rodentia; Bathyergidae
Description: lncRNA (ENSFDAG00000022867.1)
Source: RNAcentral